This is a long non-coding RNA of Selaginella moellendorffii, 805 nucleotides long. RefSeq lists it as uncharacterized. The record is from RefSeq and is a predicted model, not a curated record. NCBI's taxonomy places the organism in Eukaryota, Viridiplantae, Streptophyta, Lycopodiopsida, Selaginellales, Selaginellaceae. The transcript is spliced from 4 exons.
CGGAGCUUUCAAAGGCGUCACGGCUUCGUAAUUAUCAUCUUUCCAUUCAUUCUCUCGUACACAAUGCUCCGUUUGGUCUCACUGAUCAUGUGAACCAAGCACUCUCAACCACGGUCCUGGGACUUGGCUAUCUCUUUGUUGCGGCCAGAAGCUCACGAAGCUCUUGACUCAAUCGCCAUCAGAAGUUUCCAAGAGUUAAGGAAGAUGAGGAUGCCAUCUUUCUUUUUCAAAUUGGGAUGUGAUCCAGCUCUGAUAUCAUAUUCGAGAUAGGAAAUCACAAAUGUUGGCCGGUCAAGGAUCAGCGACGGAUCAUGAUCAUUGAGGUUGGAUCAUGUACGUCUUCAAGUUCUGGAGAUCGCAGGUGCCCAACGUUAUUUCUCAGCGUUAUUUCUCAGCUCGCAGGUCUUGCCCUGAGCGCAGCAAUCAAAGCGCUGACAAUCUCUCCAAAACGUUGCUAACCUAGUAUGGCACACGCUGUGACAUGGCGUUUUUCAGUUCUUAUCGUCGUUGAGCAACACCAGGCUUCUUCAUGACAAGAAAUUAGAACAAAUCGAAAGACACGAGAACCUGUGUCACUGGCUCCCUUUUGCGUUGCAAUCGAAAAGAAAGAGCGAACCUGGUUGGUGUUUCAACACAAAUUCUUGAUCCCCUCUAGCCUUUCUUUUAUGGCAUUGGAUUAGGCAACGAGGAUCAUGUUGUAGGAGAGGAGAUUGGGCUUUCAAAAACCUACCUUUGAUUGUAGCUUCAAAUCUUUAGUUGUCGUUUUUCUAUUGUAAAGGAGCAAUCCAUGGAUUCCACGCCCUAA